CAGUCGCCACGGUAAUACGUAGGUGGCAAGCGUUGUCCGGAAUUAUUGGGCGUAAAGCGCGCGCAGGCGGAUAGGUCAGUCUGUCUUAAAAGUUCGGGGCUUAACCCCGUGAUGGGAUGGAAACUGCCAAUCUAGAGUAUCGGAGAGGAAAGUGGAAUUUCUAGUGUAGCGGUGAAAUGCGUAGAUAUUAGGAAGAACACCAGUGGCGAAGGCGACUUUCUGGACGAAAACUGACGCUGAGGCGCGAAAGCCAGGGGAGCGAACGGGAUUAGAUACCCCUGUAGUCCCUGUCUCUUAUACA
RNAcentral lists this ribosomal RNA (301 nucleotides) under uncultured bacterium. RNAcentral's name for it is "partial 16S ribosomal RNA". It matches the Rfam family "Bacterial small subunit ribosomal RNA", at positions 509 to 809 of the family's 1533-position model. The record is from RNAcentral.